RNAcentral lists this transfer RNA (71 nucleotides) under Candidatus Liptonbacteria bacterium. RNAcentral describes it as "tRNA-Gly". It matches the Rfam family "tRNA". From Rfam's summary of the family: Transfer RNA (tRNA) molecules are approximately 80 nucleotides in length. Lineage: Bacteria; Candidatus Liptoniibacteriota. The record is from RNAcentral. RNAcentral also lists the same sequence under 1 other name.
GCGGGAUUAGUACAGUGGCAGUACGCGACCUUCCCAAGGUUGAGACGAGGGUUCGAUUCCCUUAUCCCGCU